RNA transcript from Mya arenaria, 2205 nucleotides. It is a transcript of the gene named leucine-rich repeat-containing protein 28-like, with no coding region annotated. The record is from RefSeq and is a predicted model, not a curated record. Lineage: Eukaryota; Metazoa; Mollusca; Bivalvia; Myida; Myidae. The transcript has 8 exons.
UGUUUCCGGUGUCGGCGUCAAGCGUCUAAUAAUCCACACCGAAUUGUACACGUAGACACACCAUAUACAAUUACCUCCCUUAUUUUAUAUUUUGUCAUUUUUCAAAAAGCAGCAACAAAUGUCAAUUAUCCAGGAAAAGGGCUGUCAAACACACGGAGUAUUGCAUUUAAACUAUGCAGGAAUCAGUGAUCGUGAUUUUGAAGACUUUAAAGAUUUUAAAUCAGAGGAAACUGAGUUUAUUUACCUGAAAAGAAAUUUGUUAACAAAUGUUCCACCAGCAGUCCUUCAAUGCUCAGCAUUAAAACACAUAUAUAUUGAAGAUAAUGAAUUGGUGGAGCUUCCGCCUGAGAUAUGUCAGCUCCACAACCUGUGUGUGUUGAAUGUCACUGGAAACCAGCUGUCCUCUCUCCCUCAUACCAUUGGUCAGCUAAAGAAUCUCACCAAACUGCAAAUUGGCAACAACAGACUUACAUCCUUGCCAAAAACUUUAGGUAGACUAUCUCACCUGGUGACCCUGGAGGCCUCCCGGAAUGACCUACAGACAGUUCCCAGGGAGCUGUUGGGUUGUUCUUCACUGAAGCUACUGGCACUUGAUAAGAACAAGCUGACAUGGUUACCACGACAACUGUGCUGGCUGCCGAGUCUGCAGGAGCUUUCCCUUGCAGGAAAUUUUCUGCAAUAUCUUCCGCCCAUGUUGUUCAAGCAGCCGAGACUGAAGGAGCUAGUAUUGGAUGAAAACACAGCUCUUCAUUAUCUGCCUUACGGAACAGCUGUUUACGAAACAUUCUACUCCCCCUUACUUGAGGUCAGUGCCAACCACGUCCAUGGCAAUGAUGUUGUUUGUGGCCACAUGCAGGAGGUAGACCCAGGGAGGUCAUUUCUGGUCCCACCACCUGAGAUAACAGAUGUCCUUACCAGCACACACAGGGUCCCGAGGCUGGAGGAACUGACCAUGAGGACAGUUGCACGGCUAUUAAGACAUCAAGAAGAUGUGUACGUCCUUGGUCUGCCCAGGGAGGUGGCUGACCAUCUGGCAUUCCCGACAGACAUAUGCGCCCAGGAGCAGUUAGGAAACUCAUGCCAAAACUUUGUUUACAAGUCAGCAUUCCCCAUGGUUUUCAAGAGACAUCACAUACUGAGGGGCUUGUUAGCUUGCUCAUAUACAUGCUUUUUAGAAUGUUUGAAAAUAUGACAAUGUACAUGAAUUAAACAAGAAUUGUUAUACUUAUAAAAGAACCUGUGAUAUUCUUUUGUCUUAUUUGUGUAAUGUUCAUGGGCAGAUGAAAUUAACCCUUUGCAUGCUGGGUAAAUUGUUGUCUGCUCAAAAAUGUCGUCUGGUUCCAAGCUGUUUGCAAAGCCUUUAAAAUUGCCAUCAGCAGCCUAAGGGUUAAAUAGGGUUUAGAAUCUUACUUUUACAUUUUUUAUAGUUUUAUACUGACUUGAGUGUAUUAAAGGUCUUUAUAGCUAGAUGUCCUUCUUGACCAACUAGUUGGUACAUUUCAAAUGCAAAUGCAACUUCAGUCUCAAGAUGAUAAUUUUCCAGGCAUUACUCUGUUUUGGGUUGUAAACUGCAAUCCAAUAAAAACAUGGUAAGGAUAUUUAUCACAUAGAUUCUGAUUGUAAUUUCCAUGUGUCCUCGAGCACUCUCAAGGUCAAGGUUAACAACUAAGAUAUCUUAUUGAAACAGGGUCCUGGCCCCAAUAUCACGAAAAUACUUAAGUCAAGUCUCAAACUCAGUCUGAACUCAUUUCACCAUAUAGUAGCAUAAUAUUCUUCAAAAUCUUGCAUGCUUUACACUUUUUGAAAACGUAUUUUCUCAUAGAAUGUGUUGAUAUUAGAUUUUGUCAAUAUUUCAAAGAAAACUAAUUCUAGAGCAAAAAAGACUUGUGUAUUUUAUAAGAAAUACAGAAUUGUACUCAAAUACAUUUUUGGCUGUAGAAUAUAUUUACCUUGGAAUUCUACCAAAGGCUUUUAUCAGCAUAUUCUAUGAUAGAAUGUGCUUUUAAAACUGUAAAAAACAUUUAUGAUUUUUAAUAAAUUUUAAUGCUAUGUGAUAAAAAGAGUUGAGACUGAGUUUGAGAUUUGACUUAAGUAUUUUCGUGAUAUUGGGGCCAGGACUUUAUAUCCAGUGUAUGUCUGGUAUUGUUUAUCUGUAUAAUUAUGUUUUCUUAUUGCAUUUUUAUAUGUUAUACUUAUAUGUUAAAA